GCGGGGAUGCCCGAGCUGGUCCAAGGGGGCGGACUCAAGAUCCGCUGGCGCAGGCCAUCCGGGGUUCAAAUCCCCGUCCCCGCA
RNAcentral lists this transfer RNA (84 nucleotides) under Metallosphaera sedula. Its description in RNAcentral is "tRNA-Leu (CAA) (tRNA-Leu-CAA-1-1)". It matches the Rfam family "tRNA". From Rfam's summary of the family: Transfer RNA (tRNA) molecules are approximately 80 nucleotides in length. The record is from RNAcentral. Lineage: Archaea; Thermoproteati; Thermoproteota; Thermoprotei; Sulfolobales; Sulfolobaceae. RNAcentral also lists the same sequence under 4 other names.